This 253-nucleotide ribosomal RNA is filed under the name uncultured bacterium. RNAcentral describes it as "partial 16S ribosomal RNA". It matches the Rfam family "Bacterial small subunit ribosomal RNA", at positions 524 to 776 of the family's 1533-position model. The record is from RNAcentral.
UACGUAGGUCCCGAGCGUUGUCCGGAUUUACUGGGUGUAAAGGGAGCGCAGGCGGCCUGGCAAGCCUGAUGUGAAAUACCGGGGCCCAACCCCGGGGCUGCAUUGGGAACUGCCAGGCUGGAGUGCCGGAGAGGCAGGCGGAAUUCCUAGUGUAGCGGUGAAAUGCGUAGAUAUUAGGAAGAACACCAGUGGCGAAGGCGGAUUACUGGACGAUAACUGACGGUGAGGCGCGAAAGCGUGGGGAGCAAACAGG